AUUUCAAGGAAGUUUUCGGAUGGAAUUGAAUUGACUUAGCGGCGGACGGGUGAGUAACGCGUGGGUAACCUGCCUCAUACAGGGGGAUAACAGUCGGAAACGACUGCUAAUACCGCAUAAGCACACAGUGCCGCAUGGUACAGUGUGAAAAACUCCGGUGGUAUGAGAUGGACCCGCGUCUGAUUAGGUAGUUGGUGAGGUAACGGCCCACCAAGCCGACGAUCAGUAGCCGACCUGAGAGGGUGACCGGCCACAUUGGGACUGAGACACGGCCCAAACUCCUACGGGAGGCAGCAGUGGGGAAUAUUGGACAAUGGGGGAAACCCUGAUCCAGCGACGCCGCGUGAGUGAAGAAGUAUUUCGGUAUGUAAAGCUCUAUCAGCAGGGAAGAAAAUGACGGUACCUGACUAAGAAGC
RNAcentral lists this ribosomal RNA (416 nucleotides) under bacterium PM51. RNAcentral describes it as "SSU rRNA". It matches the Rfam family "Bacterial small subunit ribosomal RNA", at positions 59 to 491 of the family's 1533-position model. Lineage: Bacteria; Bacillati; Bacillota; Clostridia; Eubacteriales. The record is from RNAcentral.